CCUACGGGUGGCAGCAGUGAGGAAUAUUGGUCAAUGGCCGGAAGGCUGAACCAGCCAUGCCGCGUGAAGGUCAGUGCCCUAUGGGCGUUAAACUUCUUUUGUGCGGGAGCAAUAAUGGUCACGUGUGGCCAGACGAGAGUACCGUACGAAUAAGCAUCGGGUAACCUCGUGCCAGAAGCCGCGGUAAUACGGGGGGUGCAAGCGUUAUACGGGUUUAUUGGGUUUAAAGGGGGGGUAGGGUGGGAGGUAAGUCAGCGGUGAAAUGCCCCCGCUCAACGGGGUGAAGUGCCAUUGAUACUGGCUUGCUGGAAUGCGGAUGCGGUGGGAGGAAUGUGUGGUGUAGCGGUGAAAUGCAUAGAUAUCACACAGAACACCGAUUGCGAAGGCAUCUCACGAAUCCGCGAUUGACGCUGAUGCACGAAAGCGUGGGUAUCAAACAGGAUUAGAUACCCUUGUAGUC
RNAcentral lists this ribosomal RNA (460 nucleotides) under uncultured bacterium. RNAcentral's name for it is "partial 16S ribosomal RNA". It matches the Rfam family "Bacterial small subunit ribosomal RNA", at positions 338 to 795 of the family's 1533-position model. The record is from RNAcentral.